GACGAACGCUGGCGGCGUGCUUAACACAUGCAAGUCGAACGGAAAGGCCCUGCUUUUGUGGGGUGCUCGAUUGGCGAACGGGUGAGUAACACGUGAGUAACCUGCCCUUGACUUUGGGAUAACUUCAGGAAACUGGGGCUAAUACCGGAUAGGAGCUCCUUCUGCAUGGUGGGGGUUGGAAAGUUUCGGCGGUUGGGGAUGGACUCGCGGCUUAUCAGCUUGUUGGUGGGGUAGUGGCUUACCAAGGCUUUGACGGGUAGCCGGCCUGAGAGGGUGACCGGCCACAUUGGGACUGAGAUACGGCCCAGACUCCUACGGGAGGCAGCAGUGGGGAAUAUUGCACAAUGGGCGGAAGCCUGAUGCAGCAACGCCGCGUGCGGGAUGACGGCCUUCGGGUUGUAAACCGCUUUCGCCUGUGACGAAGCGUGAGUGACGGUAAUGGGUAAAGAAGCACCGGCUAACUACGUG
Molecule: ribosomal RNA, 468 nt
Filed under: uncultured bacterium
Lineage: Bacteria
Description: partial 16S ribosomal RNA
Rfam family: Bacterial small subunit ribosomal RNA
Source: RNAcentral